AGAGACGUGUUGCAUAGGCGUAGCGAAUCGAGCGAAGCUAGCCAAUCUAGCCGGAAGUGUAAAGAGCGCGCCCCUACAAGCUAGCGAACCUAGACCCCUAGCGUAGCAAAGCUAGCGGCCUUUGGAGGUCCUACGCUUGCUAUUCAAAAUGGCCGACAUUGUUGUCGGUUUCAAGUUUGCAGAUGAGAGUUUCUUUGAUGCUCCCGUUAAAAAGGAGUAUUGGACCGGAUACAAAGUGAAAUGAAUGUGGGAAAUCAAUGGACCAAGGGGGCAUACUUUUCCUCAUGGACACUUAUGCCGAACAUAAGGAACAAUUUGCAAUUCCAACUUGAAAAUAGAGGUAUGGAAGAGGAUUGCUUCGGAAAUGGCAGCCUCAGGAUGCCACUUUGCUCCAGCAGCACUUGAGAGAAAAAUGGAGCAAUAUGAAAAAUAUGAAUGGCUGAAAUCUUGGAAGGAGACCCUUUGUUCAUCCCACCACUGACAUCAUCAUCACUGGGGAGUGUAAAAGUAAACACUCUCUCCGAGAUCUCCAAUACCCAGCAAUGUGCCACCCUACAAAGAAG
Pomacea canaliculata is the source of this 563-nucleotide long non-coding RNA. RefSeq lists it as uncharacterized. The record is from RefSeq and is a predicted model, not a curated record. The transcript is spliced from 4 exons. NCBI's taxonomy places the organism in Eukaryota, Metazoa, Mollusca, Gastropoda, Architaenioglossa, Ampullariidae.